AUCUAGCUGACGAGUCCCAAACAGAACGAAACUCCUAUCCUGAAU
RNAcentral lists this non-coding RNA (45 nucleotides) under Schistosoma mansoni. The record is from RNAcentral. Lineage: Eukaryota; Metazoa; Platyhelminthes; Trematoda; Strigeidida; Schistosomatidae.